This 400-nucleotide unclassified non-coding RNA is filed under the name uncultured fungus. RNAcentral describes it as "sequence contains ITS1". The stretch from base 1 to 106 matches the Rfam family "5.8S ribosomal RNA", at positions 50 to 154 of the family's 154-position model. Lineage: Eukaryota; Fungi. The record is from RNAcentral.
GAAAUGCGAUACGUAAUGCGAAUUGCAGAAUUCAGUGAAUCAUCAAAUCUUUGAACGCAAAUUGCGCUGGAUGGAUAGGCCAUUCAGCAUGUUUCUUUGAGCAUCGUUUCUACCUCAUUCCUCUGCGGCUUCGGUUGCGGAAUGGAAUGGAAAAUGGGCGUCUUCGUCUUUCCAAAAGACGAAGUCGCUUUAAGAAUCGUUGAGUUUUCAUACAACACAACUAAUCCUUUCUGCAUGCGCAGUUGCCGGGUUAGCGAAGUGGAUAAAAUUCUUUUUCUAACUUUGCUAAGCUAGCGACUCGAAGCGGUCAGGUGUGUUGACAGAUAAACUCGGUGGAAAUGAAUGAAGAGGAGAGAGAGAGACUACUCUUUCUGUCCUUUUUGAAUUAGAUCUCAAAUGA